CUCGGAGUAGCUCAGUUGGAAGAGCGGUGAGUUAUUUUCAGCCUUCCCUGCAUGCUGUAUAACAUACUGACGUCGUUAGUCGGACUGUAAUAGGAGAUCCGCAGGCCACGUGUUCAAAUCACGUCUCUGAGA
This is a non-coding RNA of Kockovaella imperatae, 132 nucleotides long. The record is from the annotation of a RefSeq genome assembly. NCBI's taxonomy places the organism in Eukaryota, Fungi, Basidiomycota, Tremellomycetes, Tremellales, Cuniculitremaceae.